RNAcentral lists this transfer RNA (72 nucleotides) under Ovis aries (sheep). It matches the Rfam family "tRNA". Rfam says of the family: Transfer RNA (tRNA) molecules are approximately 80 nucleotides in length. Their secondary structure includes four short double-helical elements and three loops (D, anti-codon, and T loops). Further hydrogen bonds mediate the characteristic L-shaped molecular structure. tRNAs have two regions of fundamental functional importance: the anti-codon, which is responsible for specific mRNA codon recognition, and the 3' end, to which the tRNAs corresponding amino acid is attached (by aminoacyl-tRNA synthetases). tRNAs cope with the degeneracy of the genetic code in two manners: having more than one tRNA (with a specific anti-codon) for a particular amino acid; and 'wobble' base-pairing, i.e. permitting non-standard base-pairing at the 3rd anti-codon position. The record is from Rfam by way of RNAcentral. Lineage: Eukaryota; Metazoa; Chordata; Mammalia; Artiodactyla; Bovidae.
UCCCUGGUGGCUUAGACAGUAAAGAAUCUGCCUGCAAUGUAGGAGACCUGGGUUCAAUUCCUGGGUCGGGAA